GAAAACAAGAAGCUAGGCUAGCCUACAGAUCACAAGAUCCUAUCUAUCUUCAAAUUGUUUUUGCGCCUUGCUUUCUUGUCUGUUUGUGUUUCUUCUGGUGCUUCUUUCUUCCAAAAACUGAUGCGGAUGACAUUGGCCUUUUGCCUUUUCAAAACACAAAUUUCAUCAUUUUGUUCUGUCUGCUGGGGAUAGUGCUUCCUUCAUCAAACUUGUUAUGGUGGGGUAUUU
RNAcentral lists this long non-coding RNA (228 nucleotides) under Nicotiana benthamiana. RNAcentral's name for it is "long non-coding RNA (NBEN_LNC031228)". Lineage: Eukaryota; Viridiplantae; Streptophyta; Magnoliopsida; Solanales; Solanaceae. The record is from RNAcentral.